RNAcentral lists this ribosomal RNA (501 nucleotides) under uncultured Actinomycetes bacterium. RNAcentral's name for it is "bacterial SSU rRNA". It matches the Rfam family "Bacterial small subunit ribosomal RNA", at positions 8 to 522 of the family's 1533-position model. The record is from RNAcentral. Lineage: Bacteria; Bacillati; Actinomycetota; Actinomycetes.
AGAGUUUGAUCAUGGCUCAGGACGAACGCUGGCGGCGUGCUUAACACAUGCAAGUCGAACGGUAAGGCCCCUUCGGGGGUACACGAGUGGCGAACGGGUGAGUAACACGUGAGCAACCUGCCCUUGACUCUGGGAUAACAGUUGGAAACAGCUGCUAAUACCGGAUACGACCCUUGAUGGCAUCAUCGAGGGUGGAAAGCGCUUUAGCGGUCAAGGAUGGGCUCGCGGCCUAUCAGCUUGUUGGUGAGGUAACGGCUCACCAAGGCUUCGACGGGUAGCCGGCCUGAGAGGGCGACCGGCCACACUGGGACUGAGAUACGGCCCAGACUCCUACGGGAGGCAGCAGUGGGGAAUAUUGCACAAUGGGCGCAAGCCUGAUGCAGCAACGCCGCGUGCGGGAUGACGGCCUUCGGGUUGUAAACCGCUUUCAGUUCCGACGAAGCGCAAGUGACGGUAGGAACAGAAGAAGGACCGGCCAACUACGUGCCAGCAGCCGCGGUG